AGAGUUUGAUCCUGGCUCAGAAUGAACGCUGGCGGCGCGCUUAACACAUGCAAGUCGAACGAGAAAUCUCGAGCUUGCUCGGGAGAGUAAAGUGGCGCACGGGUGAGUAACGCGUGGGUAACCUGUCCUUAAAUUUGGGAUAAUCCACCGAAAGGUGGCCUAAUACCAAAUACAGUCCUGAGAACCAAGGUCCUUGGGAUGAAAGCUGACCUCUUCAUGAAAGUUGGCGUUUAAGGAGGGGCUCGCGUACCAUUAGCUUGUUGGUAGGGUAAUGGCCUACCAAGGCUACGAUGGUUAGCUGGUCUGAGAAGAUGGCCAGCCACACUGGAACUGAAACACGGUCCAGACUCCUACGGGAGGCAGCAGUGAGGAAUCUUGCGCAAUGGGGGAAACCCUGACGCAGCGACGCCGUGUGAGUGAAGAAGGCCUUCGGGUCGUAAAGCUCUGUCAAGUGGGAAUAAAGUCCCUCGGUGAAUACGCGAGGGAUCUGAAGGUACCACUAAAGGAAACACCGGCUAACUCCGUGCCAGCAGCCGCGGUAAUACGGAGGGUGCAAGCGUUAUUCGGAUUUAUUGGGCGUAAAGAGCGUGUAGGCGGGGUGGUAAGUCAGCGGUGAAAUCUCUCGGCUUAACCGAGAAUCUGCCGCCGAUACUGCCAUCCUUGAGUACGGAAGAGGGAAGUGGAAUUCCUGGUGUAGCGGUGAAAUGCGUAGAUAUCAGGAAGAACACCAGUAGCGAAGGCGGCUUCCUGGUCCGUCACUGACGCUGAGACGCGAAAGCGUGGGGAGCAAACAGGAUUAGAUACCCUGGUAGUCCACGCCGUAAACGAUGGGCACUAGGUGUUGGAGGUUUCGACCCCUUCAGUGCCGCAGCUAACGCAUUAAGUGCCCCGCCUGGGGAGUACGGUCGCAAGACUGAAACUCAAAGGAAUUGACGGGGGCCCGCACAAGCGGUGGAGCAUGUGGUUUAAUUCGAUGCAACGCGAAGAACCUUACCUGGGCUUGAACUGCAGUGGACAGCCUGUGAAAGCAGGUUUUCUUUCGGGACUGCUGUAGAGGUGCUGCAUGGCUGUCGUCAGCUCGUGUCGUGAGAUGUUGGGUUAAGUCCCGUAACGAGCGCAACCCCUAUCCUUAGUUACCAACUCAUUUAUGAGGGGACUCUAAGGAGACUGCCAGUGAUAAGCUGGAGGAAGGUGGGGAUGACGUCAAGUCAUCAUGGCCUUUAUGGGUAGGGCAACACACGUGCUACAAUGGGAAGUACAGAUGGAGGCGAACCCGCGAGGGGGAGCGGAUCCCAAAAAGCUUUCCGUAAUUUGGAUUGAAGUCUGCAACUCGACUUCAUGAAACUGGAAUCGCUAGUAAUCGCAAAUCAGCAGGUUGCGGUGAAUACGUUCUCGAGCCUUGUACACACCGCCCGUCAAGUGAUGGGAGUCGGGAGUACCCGAAGUCGGUUUGCUAACCCAGCUUGCUGGGAAGCGGCUGCCGACGGUAAGCCUGAUGACUGGCACUAAGUCGUAACAAGGUAACC
RNAcentral lists this ribosomal RNA (1526 nucleotides) under uncultured bacterium. RNAcentral's name for it is "bacterial SSU rRNA". It matches the Rfam family "Bacterial small subunit ribosomal RNA". The record is from RNAcentral.